UACGUAGGGUGCAAGCGUUAAUCGGAAUUACUGGGCGUAAAGCGUGCGCAGGCGGUUCUGUAAGUCUGACGUGAAAUCCCCGGGCUCAACCUGGGAAUUGCGUUGGAGACUGCAAGGCUAGAAUCUGGCAGAGGGGGGUAGAAUUCCACGUGUAGCAGUGAAAUGCGUAGAUAUGUGGAGGAACACCGAUGGCGAAGGCAGCCCCCUGGGUCAAGAUUGACGCUCAUGCACGAAAGCGUGGGGAGCAAACAGG
RNAcentral lists this ribosomal RNA (253 nucleotides) under uncultured bacterium. Its description in RNAcentral is "partial 16S ribosomal RNA". It matches the Rfam family "Bacterial small subunit ribosomal RNA", at positions 524 to 776 of the family's 1533-position model. The record is from RNAcentral.